Molecule: small RNA, 131 nt
Filed under: Marmota monax (woodchuck)
Lineage: Eukaryota; Metazoa; Chordata; Mammalia; Rodentia; Sciuridae
Source: RNAcentral
GCUGGGCAUGGUGGAGCAUGUCUGUAAUCCCAGGGGCUUGGGAGGCUGAGACAGGAGGAUUGCAAGUUCAAAGCCAGCCUCAGCAACUAACUUAGCAAGGCCCUAAGCAAUUUAACAAGAUCCUGUCUAAA